RNAcentral lists this ribosomal RNA (577 nucleotides) under uncultured bacterium. RNAcentral describes it as "bacterial SSU rRNA". It matches the Rfam family "Bacterial small subunit ribosomal RNA", at positions 338 to 916 of the family's 1533-position model. The record is from RNAcentral.
CCUACGGGAGGCAGCAGUAAGGAAUAUUGGUCAAUGGACGCAAGUCUGAACCAGCCAUGCCGCGUGAAGGAUUAAGGUCCUCUGGAUUGUAAACUUCUUUUAUCUGGGACGAAAAAAGGCGAUUCUUCGUCACUUGACGGUACCAGAUGAAUAAGCACCGGCUAACUCCGUGCCAGCAGCCGCGGUAAUACGGAGGGUGCAAGCGUUAUCCGGAUUCACUGGGUUUAAAGGGUGCGUAGGCGGGCAGGUAAGUCAGUGGUGAAAUCCUAGAGCUUAACUCUAGAACUGCCAUUGAUACUAUCUGUCUUGAAUAUUGUGGAGGUAAGCGGAAUAUGUCAUGUAGCGGUGAAAUGCUUAGAUAUGACAUAGAACACCUAUUGCGAAGGCAGCUUACUACGCAUAUAUUGACGCUGAGGCACGAAAGCGUGGGGAUCAAACAGGAUUAGAUACCCUGGUAGUCCACGCCCUAAACGAUGAUUACUCGACAUUUGUGAUACACUAUAAGUGUCUGAGCGAAAGCAUUAAGUAAUCCACCUGGAAGUACGACCGCAAGGUUGAAACUUAAAGGAAUUGACGG